UUAAUUUCUUUAUUUCAUUUUUUAAAAUCAUUUUUCCACAAUACUUGAAACUCGUCGAUGCAAUUAAAUAGCUUGUAUAUAUGAAAAUUUCCGAAAUACAAAAAUGGAAAUUCGACGAGGAAAACUCAAACAAGCUGAAACAGCAAGGAACUCGUCGACGACCUCUUAGCUAAUGAAAACAACUUGGACAAAUUCAUAACCCAGAUCAGAAGAAGCAACAACAGAGAUACGGAGUUUAGCAAAACAGAAUCAACAAAUACAACUUCAAUUUCUGAAAUUGAAAUCGAAAUUCGCGGAAAUCAGCAGAAACUUUGAAACUCCUUGAUUUCCCUAAUUUCUUCUAAUUUUGAAACCUCUUUGUCAUUUUCAAACUCUCAAAACCUUUCAGAGCUUCCAAUUUUCGUUUGUUGUUUCAAGGCUUUUGUGUAUGUGUGUUUUAGAAAUAAGAGUGAAGGAGAUGAGUUCGAGAAGAGGGUAUGAAUGGCGCGGAGUUUUUGAAGAUCUCCAGAUGAAUGAGGGGUCACCUUCUCUGUUGGAUAUCGAGAGGGGUCUAUUGGUUUUCGAUUUUAAAGGAACCAGGAAGAGGGAUUGAAUUUCCUGUCUCCAAGGGGAGGGUAUCAAAUAGCUAAAUG
RNAcentral lists this long non-coding RNA (632 nucleotides) under Nicotiana benthamiana. RNAcentral's name for it is "long non-coding RNA (NBEN_LNC017799)". The record is from RNAcentral. Lineage: Eukaryota; Viridiplantae; Streptophyta; Magnoliopsida; Solanales; Solanaceae.